Molecule: long non-coding RNA, 306 nt
Organism: Xenia sp. Carnegie-2017
Lineage: Eukaryota; Metazoa; Cnidaria; Anthozoa; Malacalcyonacea; Xeniidae
Exons: 2
Source: RefSeq, a predicted model, not a curated record
UUUUCCUUUUCCCUUAUGUCAAUUUUUAUUAUAUAUAUUUGUGUAUUCAAGACCAAUCUUGUAUUGUUCAGCGAAACAGCCAAUUUAUAAAGGUUCACGAAAGUCGUCGAAAGAAUACGACAAGUUCACGAAAAUGGAUGUAAAGAAGAAAUUCUUGAAGUCGCAUCUCAUCUUUUAAGAACAACAAGAAAAGAUAAUUCAAAGCAAUCUUUGAAAACAAUCAACAAAAAAACUACGUACUUGCUCCUAAUUUUCAAUGAACAAAUACACUGGAUUGCAUAUUUUAUAAUAUGUAAUGAAAUGAAA